GGUAAUACGUAGGUGGCAAGCGUUGCCCGGAUUUAUUGGGCGUAAAGCGAGCGCAGGCGGUUUCUUAAGUCUGAUGUGAAAGCCCUGGGCUCAACCGAGGAAGGUCAUUGGAAACUGGGAAACUUGAAUGCAGAAGAGGAGAGUGGAAUUCCAUGUGUAGCGGUGAAAUGCGUAGAUAUAUGGAGGAACACCAGUGGCGAAGGCGACUCUCUGGUCCGUAACUGACGCUGAGGCUCGAAAGCGUGGGGAGCAAACAGGAUUAGAUACCCUGGUAGCCACGCCGUAAACGAUGAGGCUAAGUGUUGGAGGCUUCCGCCCUUCAGUGCUGCAGUUAACGCAUUAAGCACUCCGCCUGGGGAGUACGGCCGCAGGCUGAAACUCAAGGAAUUGA
RNAcentral lists this ribosomal RNA (391 nucleotides) under Vagococcus fluvialis. Its description in RNAcentral is "bacterial SSU rRNA". It matches the Rfam family "Bacterial small subunit ribosomal RNA", at positions 519 to 913 of the family's 1533-position model. The record is from RNAcentral. Lineage: Bacteria; Bacillati; Bacillota; Bacilli; Lactobacillales; Enterococcaceae.